Non-coding RNA from Chelonoidis abingdonii (Abingdon island giant tortoise), 4039 nucleotides. NCBI's taxonomy places the organism in Eukaryota, Metazoa, Chordata, Testudines, Testudinidae. The record is from RefSeq and is a predicted model, not a curated record.
UCUCGGAGGUGGAAAUGGAGCGUUAUUACUGCCUGCUGCAAGCCGCCGCCCGCCUCCAGUCCAGCGUCGCCGAAACCACAGUUCCCAUUUGUGCGAAGGACAUCAGUGAUGAUUUGAGGAAAAAGUUUGCAUUUCUUUCUGGUGGCCGAGGGAAAGACAAUGGUUGGAUCAUCACGUUUCCUGAAAACUCCGAUUUCAAUGAAGCAUCAGAGGAGGUUCUAAUGAAAGUCUUAACAUACUUAACUUCAGUCCCAAGUCAACAUGAAUCUGACACACAAUUUAUCCUAAUCCUGGAUAGAAGAUUGGAUACAUGGAUGUCUGUCAAAAUGACUCUCCAAAGGAUAGCAGCCUCCUUCCCAGGGAACCUGCAGUUAGUGAUGGUUCUACGUCCCACUGGGUUUUUUCAGCGCACAUUCACCGACAUUGGAUUUCGCUUCAGUCAGGAGGAUUUUCUACUCAAAUUACCGGUGGUUAUGCUGAGCUCAGUCAGUGAUUUAUUGAUGUAUAUUGAUGAGAAGCAGUUAACCCCAGAAUUCGGGGGCACCUUGGAGUACCGUCAUAGCGAAUGGGUUAUCUUCAGAACUGCUAUCGAGAGUUUUGCACUAACAGUGAAAGAAAUUGCACAGAUGUUACAAUCUUUCGGCACAGAGCUGGCAGAAACAGAGCUACCAGAUGACAUGUAUUCAAUUGAGCGCAUACUGGCUUUGCGCACAGAAAAGUAUUGUCAGCUCAAGGGAGAUAUUACAGUAGUAACAAAAGAAGGAAACGUGCUGUUAAGUAGUUUAGAAGAGCCUGAUGCCAACAAAUGUAGUCAGAAACAACGCCAUGACAGACCUGGAGGCUGGGAAACUGUGAAUCGGUUACUUGCUCAGUUGCAUGAGAUGGAAACUGCUUUUGAUGGCUUCUGGGAAAAACAUCAACUAAAAAUGGAGCAGUAUUUACAACUGUUGAAGUUUGAGCAAAGUUUUCAAGAGCUGCAGAGUGCCAUUGCAUUUUUAAUGGGCCAACAAGCAGAACUGCCUGAUACUGGAGAUAGUGUGGCUCAAGUGAAACAAAGGCUCAAAGACUUGGGUAAUUUAGAUGGAAUGGCUCAGGACUUGGUAGGGAAAGCCCAGGUGGUGAUGUUACAUGGGCACCAGCUAGCAGCAAAUCAUCAUUAUGCGCUCAGCUUAAUCUGCCAGCAGUGCAAUGAGCUGCGGCACCAUUCUGACGUCCUGUCGGAGGAGAUCAAGAGGAAGCACGUACGACUCCGGAUGACCUUAGAUCUGCACACCCGCCUGCAGCAGGCCCUCGAGUGCUGUGAUGAAGGGGCUAAUCUUCUAGCUAAUCAGCCAAUGGAUAAAUUCCAGUCUAAAGAAGGUGCUCAGAAAGCUCUUCAGGAUAUAGACAAAUUUCUUGAAAGUUCUUUGCCGUACUUAAGCUAUGAUCCUCAAGUCCUGUGCUGUGACUUUGAAUCUGUUUUAACACCUGAAAUAAAGGCCCAGAUACAGGCAGUCUGGAUCAAGCUUGAAAACGUUCGAAGUAUGUUUGAGAAUCAGCAGACUUGCUUCAGAAAGCUUGUGGAUAAACAUGUGCGGCCUGUUCAGUUAGUAACCCCUCGACCAGAAAACCCACCAAGAUCGAAAUCUCCUUUAUUCUAUCCCAAACACGGCAUGGAUUUUAAUUCCAGUUUAAAGUUUUCAUUUGACAUCUCUCUCCCUGGGAAGAAAAUGUCAAGAAAAUCUCACAACUCUCGUAAGAUUGAAGUAAUGCAUGACUAUCAAGAAAAAAGGAAUUCCUUGCAGUCUUUUAUUUCUGAAAGUGAAGACAACUUAGAUAUACUAAAAGGCCAUGUCAUAAACGAGCUAAUAGAAACAGAGAGAGUGUACGUAGAGGAGCUGUUCACCGUUUUGAUGGGCUACAGGGCUGAAAUGGAUAAUCCAGCAAUGGUUAUUCUCAUGCCACCUGCCCUGAGAAACAGAGAGGAUGUUCUCUUUGGGAAUAUGCCAGAGAUAUAUGACUUCCAUAACAAAAUUUUCCUACACAAUCUGGAAAGCUGUGUUGGAGCCCCAGAGCGAGUGGGGCUUUGUUUCCUGGAAAGGCGAGAAGAUUUUCAGAUGUAUGAAAAAUAUUGUCAGAACAAACCCCGGUCGGAAUCUCUAUGGAGGCAGUGUUCAGAAAGCACCUUCUUCCGGGAAUGCCAAAGAAAAUUAGAACACAGACUUGGGCUGGAUUCCUAUUUGCUCAAACCAGUACAACGUUUGACAAAAUACCAGUUGCUUUUGAAGGAGUUGCUAAAAUACAGCACAAGCUGUGAUGGAGUUAAAGAGUUGCAAGAAGCUCUGGUUGCAAUGUUGGAUUUACUAAAAUCAGUCAAUGACUCUAUGCAUCAAAUUUCAAUAACAGGAUAUGAUGGGGACUUGAGUGAACUUGGAAAAGUAUUGAUGCAAGGAUCGUUCAGUGUUUGGGCAGGACACCGGAAAGGCCCUACAAAAAUGAAGGAUCUUGCCAGGUUCAAACCAAUGCAGAGACACCUGUUCCUGUAUGAGAAAGCCCUGGUGUUUUGUAAGAAGAGAGAGGAGCAUGGAGAUGGAUAUGAUAAAACCUCUUCAUACAGUUUUAAGCAUUUUUUGAAAAUGAAUGCAGUUGGAAUCACUGAAAACGUGAAAGGGGAUCAUCGAAAAUUUGAGAUCUGGUACAGCGGACGAGAAGAGGUGUAUGUUGUUCAGGCCCCAACAGUAGAUGUGAAGAUGGUGUGGUUAAGUGAAAUGAGAAAAAUUUUGUUCAAGCAGCAGGAGUUUAUAAAAGUUGAGAAGAAACCAUCCGUUUUGUUUACAGACCAGAUCCAACUUUCCCCUCAGCUGAGUGAUGGAAAGCAGCAUAGAGCCUCCAUAAGCUCAGAAGAAAAUGAUUCUGAACGCACCAGUCCUAUAAUGUUGGAUAGUAUCAGCUCAUCACCACAGAACAAGCCAAACCAAAGCUGGUCUAGAAUGUCUCAAUCUGUGGAAAUCUGUGAAGGGCUUGAGGACUGGUCCAGCAACAAUUACCUUUCUAAUUGCUCAGACACAGAAGAAGAAGAUGGGAGCCAGUUGUCUCCAGGAAGAUAUAAAGCCCUAGCAGACUGCAAAAAAAGAGGCUCGGAGGACCUGCUGGUUAAAAACGGGGAUGUAAUUGAACUUCUGCACGAGGACAGGGAAGGGCAAUGGUUGGUGAAAAAUCUGAACAGAAGAAAAGAAGGCUGGAUUCCGGUCAACAGUUUGCAGAUAGUAAUUGGCGACUGUAGGUUUCGGAAUGCCAAAGUCGCAGGUAUCAUACGAUAAACAUAUAUGAAAUAUUUUCAGGACUGGAAUCAGAUUUUUAUAAACCAUGGCUUGCAUUUUAUUUUGGGUAUCGGAUUUGGCUAUAUAAAACUCAACAGAAAAAAACAGUUAAUCGUAUGAAAACAAUUGCUCCCAAGAGCUUACAAAAGUAGUACAUAUGAAGCUGCUGCUCUAUUUUGUUGAUAUUUUGAGAAUUUGUUGUGAUUUUUAAGAUGAAGGCACUCGUAAAAUAAUGCCAAAUAUUUAAAAAUGUAGAUAUUGCAAAAGCACUUGGUACUGUAUGAUGGGCAAAGAGAUGGAGUCUAGCCAUUAAGGGAUUUCCAUGGCUGGUUUGUCUACACAUUGCUGCAAGUUUGGUCCCCUGUGUAAAUAUAAUAUCACCUAGGCAAAAUCAUGUCACUCUCUAAAAAGAUAUUCAUGCCUGAUCCAAAAUCCUUUGAAGGGAGUCUUUCCAUUUACUUCACUGGACUUUGGACCAGCCCGUAUACAGCUUUGUUAGGCCUCACUAUUUUAUUCACAGCUGACUACUGGCUUACUGGUUAAAGUUUGUUGAUAAUAGACUGGGUUUCUGUGAAAGACUCCUAGAUUCUAAAAUGUAUUUUCCCCCAUGAUCAUUCUUGGUAUCCAGAUCUAGAGGGGAGACCGAUGUUACAAGAAAACACCUUUACAACCACUUGUCAUUCCUACACAUUUUGUCUUACUAUCCAGGUAUAACGUCGUNGUGAAUUCCCAUGCUGCAG